GAAGAGGCAGAGGCAGGUGGAUC
RNAcentral lists this non-coding RNA (23 nucleotides) under Cricetulus griseus (Chinese hamster). Lineage: Eukaryota; Metazoa; Chordata; Mammalia; Rodentia; Cricetidae. The record is from RNAcentral.